UUUUUUUGCCAAGAUGGGCAUGUCAAAUUACACAAGUCCGAACACACCUAACAAAGUCAGAAAAUAAAACAUCACAGAAUAUCCUAGGCAAAAACUCAUCCCAAGUCCACAAGGUACCACCUGCGUGAUUGGCUGCAUAAGCGGUCAUCCAGUCCACAGCACCGUUAGCCUUCCUAAAGAUUGCUUGGCCUCAAUAGCCAAGCUUCCGAUGCACGGUGGGGAGAAGGGUUUCAGUAAACUCCGAGGUUCCGAUGGCAGAGGCGGCUGCUCCCAUGGAGAUCGACAACGAAGCGCCGCCGGCAAGGCCCAACAAGGGCUAGGCCCCCCUCGCCUGCCCAAGCAACCCAGCCCCCUAGGUCGAGAAGUA
Molecule: long non-coding RNA, 367 nt
Filed under: Phoenix dactylifera (date palm)
Lineage: Eukaryota; Viridiplantae; Streptophyta; Magnoliopsida; Arecales; Arecaceae
Description: long non-coding RNA (PDAC_LNC019262)
Source: RNAcentral